Molecule: long non-coding RNA, 6670 nt
Filed under: Brassica napus (rape)
Lineage: Eukaryota; Viridiplantae; Streptophyta; Magnoliopsida; Brassicales; Brassicaceae
Description: long non-coding RNA (BNAP_LNC014959)
Source: RNAcentral
UUACCAGUCUCGUUCGAUCAAAAUGGUGCCACCAAGUGUGGAAAGCACACCAAUGGCCCCAGCAACAUUUGUCAACGCAACCAAGGUUGCAAAGACCGGGAUGUUCCGGGGUUUAAGAUCGUAAUCUAGUAGCAACUUGAUGACUGCACCACCAGCAAUGACGUAGGAGAGGUUCUGACAUAAGAGCCAGAGUCUAAGAACUUUAACGUAGUCCAUUCCCUCGAUCCAUUGUCCCACAAUGGGGCCAAAGAUCGCAGAAGAACCAGACUCUAUCGCACCGUAUAUGGCCGCAUAACAUCAAUAUCAAUCGGCUCUUCUCUCAAACUCUCAUUCACGCUGGGUAAGAUUCUUCCUCUGAAUAAGGCUAUAGCCCAACAUGUAUCUGAAAAAAACAACAGUAAAGAUCAUCAUUAUCAUCAGAUUAAAACGUAAACAAUGAUCACAAAAGUAAUAUAAAUUACCUAAAUGUUCUUCUUGGACAAGAGGUUCGGGAACAGUGUCUUGCCUCUUUUCUCUCCAAGUAAAAAGAAACUCUGUAAAGCUGGCAUCAUGGAUCUGAUAACAUAAAAAAAAGGUUUCGAAACCAUUAAGCAAUUAAGCCAAACAAGUCAACACCAUCGUAUCCAAUUCAUAUGAAAAUAGUACAACUGAAAAUUACAUCACAUACCUUCAAUUUGUUGCAAUCAUCCGGACUAAGUCUUCCAAAGUAACUCAGAAGCUCGUUUUCUGUCAUCAAUUUGUUGUGGAAUCGUUUAACAGUUGAGGCAAUCUCUUGAAAUAGUGUCAGUAUUUUUAUGCACAAAUUAUGUAUUAAUCAACACUGGAAAUAAAAAUAGUACUACUUCAAUGAUUUGAUGUGAUGGUCCGGACGCAUAAACCUCACUAGAAAAAUGAUACCUCCUAAUAAUAUCAUGAUGCUGAAAUUUCACUAAGAAACUUAAUAAUUUGAUAUAUUAUAUUCAUAAAAUAGUUAUUCUAAAAUGUUUUUUUCAUUUAACAAGUAAAUAGAAAAUACCAUUGGUUCAGAUUACACCAAUUUGUUUUAUGUCUAGUAUCCACUUAGCUGAUUAAAAUAACAAUAAAUUUCUUAGGCUUUAAAACUUAUAAAUUUGAUGUAGGUUUUAAGUUUUACAUAUAUAAAAAAUAAUUGAGAGAAAAGAAGAUAAUUUAAAAGGAAACAUGAUUCAUCUAUAGUAAAUAACACCGAUUAGAAAAGAAAAUUAGACUUUUUGUCAACGAGAAAAUAAGACCGUUGUUUUGUUUUCAAAUUUAUUUAUUUUAUUUAUAUGAUUAUCAUAUAAUAAAUGUAUAAAAACAUAAACUAAAAUUGUCAUUAAAUGGAUCAAAAUGAAUCAGAUUCUGUCAUUUAUUUAAGAAAAAAUAAGUGAAAUCCAAGCACCAGACCUGCAUCCUUGAAGUAUAAGGUCCAUCAAACGCUUUUUAUAUCAUCUUUAUGCUAUUUUUUUAAAAAAAUACAUAUAUUACACUAUCUUUGCUGCACUGUUUAUGCUUCAAUUAGAUUAUGAUCUUUAUUUAAUAAACCUAUGUUGUAUAGUUAGGUAAUGUAUAGUAGUUUUGUGAUGAUUGUUUAUGUUUUAAUAUGAUGCUGAUGAUGAUAAUACUAUUUACUGUUUUUAUAGAUAAUUCUUGGGUUAUAGCUUUCAAAAGAAGCCAAUCUGAAUUGGCCAAAUUAAAGGGAUCUGGUAGACCACCUCUAGAUGCCAAUAUCCUAAUGGAAGAGGUUCAUCCUCGAUAUCAAUUAGAAACACACGCUGUAGAUCGUCUAGAAGAUUUAAGUCAUUUUGAAAAAUAUGUGAAAGCAAAUGAUCGUUCACCACAUGCCACGAGGAUUUGAUCAAGCUGAUCAAGAAGAGUUUGAGAUACUAAUUGAAAAACUAUUAGCCAAAGGACAUGUAGUAGGAGGGUUUGAUGUUUUUCAAAACUACAACGAAGAAUUCUCGAGACAAGUCAAUACACAAAACUGAUAUUAUUCUCUUAUAUGUAGCUCUGAUUAAUGAUAUAUAAUUUUUCUUAAUAUAUUGUUUAAAAACAAUACAAAUGAAUUGCAGUGAAUUUUCACUCCAACAGAGACUGAGUGUCAGAUGCGUGCCUAUCAGAGAUUUCUGAGGUAUUGUGUGGUUUUGUAUGAGAAAGGUGUACAAGUUCAUGGUUCUGUGAUCCAAGAAUUUUGGGAAGCACAUGAAAGCCGUGGGGAAGAUUUUGGAGACGAGAGCUUCGUUUGAUUGGCUUGGCACAAAUGUCUAAUCACAGAAGUUGUGGAGAUGAAGGUAAGAACUUCUCUCUAUUUGUUUCCAUUUAAAUGACAAUAUUGGUUUUUUAGUAGUUAAUUAAUGUAUAUUUUUUGUUUUAGGUAUGAUCAACAAGAUCUCAUCAAUCUAUUAAACAAGUAUGGUUUAACUAAAAUCAAUCUAUGCAAUCCAAUAUUCCAAAAAAUAACGAAAUUAAUAAGAUUGUUUAUGAGCAAAGUCACAUAUAUAUUUAAAAGAACAAUUUAUUUUAUUUAUACAUAUAAAUUAUAAAAUGAUUAAAAAAUUAUUCAAUUAAAAAAAUAAAAUAUUAUUCAUUUAUUUUUAAGAUGAUUUAAGUGUUUUUAUAAAUGUUUAUAGCCAUGAAUACGGGAAAUUCAGUGUUAAAUUGAACAUUAAAACUUGCAUGUCCAAUUUGACAUCACAAAUAAAAGCCCACAAAAGCCCAGUUCACACCACCCAAUAUAAAGGAGACGGUCUUCUAGGGAUGCUCUCUUCUCGACCUCCCUGUACAAACCAAAACCGCGCUUAGUCUUUCUAUUCUCUUUUAAAUAAAUCGAUGGACAAGAGCAAGCUCAAGAGAUGCUCCACUUCAUCCACCCAUGUAAUUUUCUUCUUCUUCUUUCUUUAAUCACCUUUUUUCUCUAUUAAUAGUUUUUUUUGUUUUUGGUUUUUUUGGGCUGAAGCAGCUGAUGAGGCCACAGAUCCUUUGCAAAAGGGUAAGAAAAUAAUUGAGUUUCUCGUUCUUUGUUGUGCCAUAGUUCUUGUUCUGUGUAAUGGUCUUAUUUUUUUUCAAGGGAGUAAAGAAUACCCUAUAACUCGCAACAGAAAACUUGACAUCCACUUGAGAACCAUUCAUAUGAACAAAUCCAAAACACAAAGAGAAACGUAACCUGAGGACCGUGAAGAACAAGAGAGCUAGUGAAACCCCUGGGAGUACAACUUCUUGUUUGAUAUAAAUUCUCCACGCGCCAACAAAAGAGGACGUGGAUAUCCUAUCAAGAAGCUUCAGCAUUCCGGUUCUACGAGGAGGGUUUCCUUCCUCAGUCCCCGGAACAAUAGAGACAGAAACAUGUGCAUCUGUUCCUUCUACUGGCUUUGUUAUGGAACGCAAGAUCCGUCUCUCAUUGCUUUGUGCCAUCGCAGGAACACCACUAUACACAGAUAUGAAGAGCCAAUACUCAACCCAAGCGGUUAUAGUGGCCCAAAAUGCAAAAGUGAUGGCUGAUGCCUUCAGUGAGACAAAGCUAAUGAUGAGACCGGUGAUUACUGGAGACAAUAGCUUUGAGCUCAAAUCAAUGCCUCGAAUGACAGAGUUCAUUCUUGUCAAUACCGCUGGUGGAUAACCUUCCGACAUAACCACAGCCCUGUUUGGUAGUCAAAAGAGCAAAAUAAAAUUUGCGUAUGCAUAAAUCAUGUGAAAAAACAUUACCAGUCUCGUUCGAUCAAAAUGGUGCCACCAAGUGUGGAAAGCACACCAAUGGCCCCAGCAACAUUUGUCAACGCAACCAAGGUUGCAAAGACCGGGAUGUUCCGGGGUUUAAGAUCGUAAUCUAGUAGCAACUUGAUGACUGCACCACCAGCAAUGAUGUAGGAGAGGUUCUGACAUAAGAGCCAGAGUCUAAGAACUUUAACGUAGUCCAUUCCCUCGAUCCAUUGUCCCACAAUGGGGCCAAAGAUCUCAGAAGAACCAGACUCUAUCGCACCGUAUGUGGCCGCAAGAAGCAGAGAGUUUGGCCACAAGUAGAUCAUAUACAAAGCAACUGAGAAUUCCCAAGUUCUGCAUCAGAAGAAGAAGCUCAUACUUACCAUAUUCUGUCAUUUAUUUAAGAAAAAAUAAGUGAAAUCCAAGCACCAGACCUGCAUCCUUGAAGUAUAAGGUCCAUCAAACGCUUUUUAUAUCAUCUUUAUGCUAUUUUUUUAAAAAAAUACAUAUAUUACACUAUCUUUGCUGCACUGUUUAUGCUUCAAUUAGAUUAUGAUCUUUAUUUAAUAAACCUAUGUUGUAUAGUUAGGUAAUGUAUAGUAGUUUUGUGAUGAUUGUUUAUGUUUUAAUAUGAUGCUGAUGAUGAUAAUACUAUUUACUGUUUUUAUAGAUAAUUCUUGGGUUAUAGCUUUCAAAAGAAGCCAAUCUGAAUUGGCCAAAUUAAAGGGAUCUGGUAGACCACCUCUAGAUGCCAAUAUCCUAAUGGAAGAGGUUCAUCCUCGAUAUCAAUUAGAAACACACGCUGUAGAUCGUCUAGAAGAUUUAAGUCAUUUUGAAAAAUAUGUGAAAGCAAAUGAUCGUUCACCACAUGCCACGAGGAUUUGAUCAAGCUGAUCAAGAAGAGUUUGAGAUACUAAUUGAAAAACUAUUAGCCAAAGGACAUGUAGUAGGAGGGUUUGAUGUUUUUCAAAACUACAACGAAGAAUUCUCGAGACAAGUCAAUACACAAAACUGAUAUUAUUCUCUUAUAUGUAGCUCUGAUUAAUGAUAUAUAAUUUUUCUUAAUAUAUUGUUUAAAAACAAUACAAAUGAAUUGCAGUGAAUUUUCACUCCAACAGAGACUGAGUGUCAGAUGCGUGCCUAUCAGAGAUUUCUGAGGUAUUGUGUGGUUUUGUAUGAGAAAGGUGUACAAGUUCAUGGUUCUGUGAUCCAAGAAUUUUGGGAAGCACAUGAAAGCCGUGGGGAAGAUUUUGGAGACGAGAGCUUCGUUUGAUUGGCUUGGCACAAAUGUCUAAUCACAGAAGUUGUGGAGAUGAAGGUAAGAACUUCUCUCUAUUUGUUUCCAUUUAAAUGACAAUAUUGGUUUUUUAGUAGUUAAUUAAUGUAUAUUUUUUGUUUUAGGUAUGAUCAACAAGAUCUCAUCAAUCUAUUAAACAAGUAUGGUUUAACUAAAAUCAAUCUAUGCAAUCCAAUAUUCCAAAAAAUAACGAAAUUAAUAAGAUUGUUUAUGAGCAAAGUCACAUAUAUAUUUAAAAGAACAAUUUAUUUUAUUUAUACAUAUAAAUUAUAAAAUGAUUAAAAAAUUAUUCAAUUAAAAAAAUAAAAUAUUAUUCAUUUAUUUUUAAGAUGAUUUAAGUGUUUUUAUAAAUGUUUAUAGCCAUGAAUACGGGAAAUUCAGUGUUAAAUUGAACAUUAAAACUUGCAUGUCCAAUUUGACAUCACAAAUAAAAGCCCACAAAAGCCCAGUUCACACCACCCAAUAUAAAGGAGACGGUCUUCUAGGGAUGCUCUCUUCUCGACCUCCCUGUACAAACCAAAACCGCGCUUAGUCUUUCUAUUCUCUUUUAAAUAAAUCGAUGGACAAGAGCAAGCUCAAGAGAUGCUCCACUUCAUCCACCCAUGUAAUUUUCUUCUUCUUCUUUCUUUAAUCACCUUUUUUCUCUAUUAAUAGUUUUUUUUGUUUUUGGUUUUUUUGGGCUGAAGCAGCUGAUGAGGCCACAGAUCCUUUGCAAAAGGGUAAGAAAAUAAUUGAGUUUCUCGUUCUUUGUUGUGCCAUAGUUCUUGUUCUGUGUAAUGGUCUUAUUUUUUUUCAAGGGAGUAAAGAAUACCCUAUAACUCGCAACAGAAAACUUGACAUCCACUUGAGAACCAUUCAUAUGAACAAAUCCAAAACACAAAGAGAAACGUAACCUGAGGACCGUGAAGAACAAGAGAGCUAGUGAAACCCCUGGGAGUACAACUUCUUGUUUGAUAUAAAUUCUCCACGCGCCAACAAAAGAGGACGUGGAUAUCCUAUCAAGAAGCUUCAGCAUUCCGGUUCUACGAGGAGGGUUUCCUUCCUCAGUCCCCGGAACAAUAGAGACAGAAACAUGUGCAUCUGUUCCUUCUACUGGCUUUGUUAUGGAACGCAAGAUCCGUCUCUCAUUGCUUUGUGCCAUCGCAGGAACACCACUAUACACAGAUAUGAAGAGCCAAUACUCAACCCAAGCGGUUAUAGUGGCCCAAAAUGCAAAAGUGAUGGCUGAUGCCUUCAGUGAGACAAAGCUAAUGAUGAGACCGGUGAUUACUGGAGACAAUAGCUUUGAGCUCAAAUCAAUGCCUCGAAUGACAGAGUUCAUUCUUGUCAAUACCGCUGGUGGAUAACCUUCCGACAUAACCACAGCCCUGUUUGGUAGUCAAAAGAGCAAAAUAAAAUUUGCGUAUGCAUAAAUCAUGUGAAAAAACAUUACCAGUCUCGUUCGAUCAAAAUGGUGCCACCAAGUGUGGAAAGCACACCAAUGGCCCCAGCAACAUUUGUCAACGCAACCAAGGUUGCAAAGACCGGGAUGUUCCGGGGUUUAAGAUCGUAAUCUAGUAGCAACUUGAUGACUGCACCACCAGCAAUGAUGUAGGAGAGGUUCUGACAUAAGAGCCAGAGUCUAAGAACUUUAACGUAGUCCAUUCCCUCGAUCCAUUGUCCCACAAUGGGGCCAAAGAU